This 497-nucleotide ribosomal RNA is filed under the name uncultured bacterium. Its description in RNAcentral is "partial 16S ribosomal RNA". It matches the Rfam family "Bacterial small subunit ribosomal RNA", at positions 28 to 507 of the family's 1533-position model. The record is from RNAcentral.
GAUGAACGCUGGCGGCGUGCCUAAUACAUGCAAGUCGAGCGAACAGACGAGGAGCUUGCUCCUCUUACGUUAUCGUCGGACGGGUGAGUAACACGUGGCUAACCUACCUAUAAGACUGGGCUAACUUCUGGAAACCGGAGCUAAUACCUGAUACUAUAUUGAACCGCAUGGUUCAAUAUUGAAAGACGGUUUUGCUUUCACUUAUAGAUGGAUCCGCGCCGCAUUAGCUAGUUGGUAAGGUAACGGCUUACCAAGGCAACGAUGCGUAGCCGACCUGAGAGGGUGAUCGGCCACACUGGAACUGAGACACGGUCCAGACUCAUACGGGAGGCAGAAGUAGGGAAGCUUCAGAAAUGGGAGAAAGCUGGACGGAGAAACGCCGCGGGAGUGAUGAAGGUCUUCGGAUCGGAAAACUCUGUUAUUAGGGAAGAACAAAUGGGUAAGUAACUAUGCACGUCUUGACGGUACCUAAUCAGAAAGCCACGGCUAACUACGUG